Molecule: ribosomal RNA, 492 nt
Filed under: uncultured bacterium
Lineage: Bacteria
Description: bacterial SSU rRNA
Rfam family: Bacterial small subunit ribosomal RNA
Source: RNAcentral
AAAUGAAUAGACGGGGACCCGCACAAGCAGUGGAGUAUGUGGUUUAAUUCGAGGCAACGCGAAGAACCUUACCAAGGCUUGACAUCCCGUGACGGAUGUGGAAACACAUUUUCUCCUUCGGGAGCACGGAGACAGGUGGUGCAUGGUUGUCGUCAGCUCGUGUCGUGAGAUGUUGGGUUAAGUCCCGCAACGAGCGCAACCCCUGCUGUCAGUUGCCAUCAUUAAGUUGGGCACUCUGGCGGGACUGCCGGUGACAAAUCGGAGGAAGGUGGGGACGACGUCAAAUCAUCAUGCCCCUUAUGUCUUGGGCUACACACGUACUACAAUGGUCGUUACAGAGGGCAGCGAAGUCGCGAGGCGGAGCGAAUCCCCAAAGGCGGCCCCAGUUCGGAUUGCAGGCUGCAACUCGCCUGCAUGAAGUCGGAAUUGCUAGUAAUUGCAGGUCAGCAUACUGCAGUGAAUACGUUCCCGGGUCUUGUACACACCGCCCGU